Molecule: non-coding RNA, 82 nt
Organism: Lipotes vexillifer (Yangtze River dolphin)
Lineage: Eukaryota; Metazoa; Chordata; Mammalia; Artiodactyla; Lipotidae
Source: the annotation of a RefSeq genome assembly
GACGAGGUGGCCGAGUGGUUAAGGCGAUGGACUGCUAAUCCAUUGUGCUCUGCACGCGUGGGUUCAAAUCCCACUCUCGUCG